RNAcentral lists this long non-coding RNA (113 nucleotides) under Piliocolobus tephrosceles (Ugandan red Colobus). RNAcentral describes it as "lncRNA (ENSPTEG00000011705.1)". Lineage: Eukaryota; Metazoa; Chordata; Mammalia; Primates; Cercopithecidae. The record is from RNAcentral.
AAUUGAAAAAAAAAAAAAAAAAAAAAAAAAAAAAAAAAAAAAAAAAAAAAAAAAAAAAAAAAAAAAAAAAAGAAAAAAAGAAAGAAAAAAAAAAAAAAAUAAAAAAGUACACU